Molecule: long non-coding RNA, 858 nt
Organism: Pipra filicauda (Wire-tailed manakin)
Lineage: Eukaryota; Metazoa; Chordata; Aves; Passeriformes; Pipridae
Exons: 3
Source: RefSeq, a predicted model, not a curated record
CGCGGCCGCCCCUGCGCCGGGGCCGGGCGGGGAGGCGGGGAAGGGGCCUGCCCCGGGCCGUCACUCACGUUGCGGCGGAAGGAGAAGCCGGGCAGCAGCGGCAGCGCCAUGGCCGCCCCGACCCGCUAGGGCGCCGUUGCCUGGAUACGGCCCGUGACGUCACGUCCACCGGGACGGUGAAACUGGGUCAGUGGGUUUCCACCUUCUGGUUUCCCAGUGCUGCGUUGAGCAUCUGCAUUUGCAUUUAGUGCAGAAAGGGACAGUUCAUAGAGAAGAUGACAAGAUCAAAUCAGACUGAACUGAGUGAUCCAGCGUGGUCUCGGCAUCAAAUUUUAAGCUGCCUGUGUUCAAGAAGAAAAGCUGCCUAUUAAAGAAAUGAGAAAUAAAGUGGUCCUGAUAGUCAAGUCAUGGCUGCUGGUUUGGGCAAAAUCGUAUUGCCUAAUUCAUGUGACUUUUUGGAAAGGUGAAGUCAUCCCCCUUGGAGGUCUUGCCUUCUCUGUGCAACUCUCAUGUCUCGCAGGCAGGGAAGGCUCAGCAACUACCAGAGCUCUGCCCUUCCACUCCCACCAGGAUGCUCUGCAGAGUCUGCAUGAGGCUGUGUACAGGAGGAAGGAAUGGAAAGCAGUGAACUGGAGAAAUAUGAACUGGCGAGGGAAAAGCAGAUACACACAUUUCUUCUCAGACAAAGAGUGUAGAGCGUGAUAAACCCGGUCUCUAAAUAGCAGCAGGAAAUAAUGCGGUAAAAAAAUCGCGUCCAUUACAUUCUUCUUCUUUCCCCUAACUAAGAGACUCAGACAGAUGAGGGUCUUUCUUGAGCAGAUAGCAGAAUAAUUUAAAUAAAAACAGGGUUGAUUGGUU